This 69-nucleotide transfer RNA is filed under the name Betatropis formosana. RNAcentral's name for it is "tRNA-Gln". The record is from RNAcentral. Lineage: Eukaryota; Metazoa; Arthropoda; Insecta; Hemiptera; Achilidae.
UAUAAAGUGAUGUAUGAUGCAUAAAGAAUUUUGAUUUCUUAGGUCUUAGUUUGAUUCUAAGCUUUAUAG